Molecule: transfer-messenger RNA, 285 nt
Filed under: Actinomycetota bacterium
Lineage: Bacteria; Bacillati; Actinomycetota
Description: Actinobacteria bacterium partial transfer-messenger RNA
Rfam family: transfer-messenger RNA
About the family: Bacterial tmRNA, also known as 10Sa RNA or SsrA, is named for its dual tRNA and mRNA-like properties. Its role is to liberate the mRNA from a stalled ribosome.
Source: RNAcentral
CGUUAAAGAGUCGGAAACAUAAAUAAACGCUAAGCCUAAGCUUGCGCUCGCUGCCUAGUGCAGCGAUGUUCACCUAGUCCAAGUCCUACGGAUUAGAACCGGACAUCAUUAAGUAGGACUUACCACUCAUGAGUGUUCACCUUGUGAAUGGGAAAUUUCAGUGAACUAAGGAAUCGAUCAGGCGCCAGCGACAGGUCGAUUCUCGAAAACUUCCCGUUGGCUGCGCUCGGAGAAUGUUCAUGGAGAAGCUGACGGACGCGGGUUCGAUUCCCGCCACCUCCACCA